Molecule: ribosomal RNA, 274 nt
Filed under: uncultured bacterium
Lineage: Bacteria
Description: partial 16S ribosomal RNA
Rfam family: Bacterial small subunit ribosomal RNA
Source: RNAcentral
AUACGGAGGGUGCAAGCGUUACUCGGAAUCACUGGGCGUAAAGCGCGCGCAGGCGGUCUUUUAAGUUGGAUGUGAAAGCCUACAGCUCAACUGUAGAACUGCAUCCAAAACUAUUAGACUAGAGUCUGAGAGGGGAAGAUGGAAUUAGUUGUGUAGGGGUAAAAUCCGUAGAGAUAACUAGGAAUACCAAAAGCGAAGGCGAUCUUCUGGAACAGUACUGACGCUGAGGCGCGAAAGCGUGGGGAGCAAACAGGAUUAGAAACCCGGGUAGUCC